AUGCCUGUACCAUAACCGACACAGGUGGGUAAGUAGAGUAUACUAAGGGGCGCGAGAUAACUCUCUCUAAGGAACUCGGCAAAAUAACUCCGUAACUUCGGGAGAAGGAGUGCCUUAUUCUUAAGGUUGCAAUAACAAGAUCCAAGCAACUGUUUAUCAAAAACACAGGUCUCCGCUAAGUCGUAAGACGAUGUAUGGGGGCUGACGCCUGCCCAGUGCCAGAAGGUUAAAGAAGUCGGUUAGCAAUAGCAAAGCUGGUAACUGAAGCCCUGGUGAACGGCGGCCGUAACUAUAACGGUCCUAAGGUAGCGAAAUUCCUUGUCGGGUAAGUUCCGACCCGCACGAAAGGCGUAAUGAUUUGGAUGCUGUCUCGGAGAGGGGCUCGGUGAAAUAGACUUGUCUGUGAAGAUGCGGACUACCUGCACCAGGACAGAAAGACCCUACGAAGCUUUACUGUAACUUGAAAUUGAAAUUGGACUUUAUUCGCGCAGUAUAGGUGGGAGGCGUUGAUUAUAAUCUUGUGGGAUUAUUGGAGCCAUCAGUGAGAUACCACUCUUGUAAUGUUAGAUUUCUAACUUUGAAUCAUUAUCUGGUCAAAGGACAGUUUCAGGCGGGCAGUUUGACUGGGGCGGUCGCCUCCUAAACGGUAACGGAGGCGUACAAAGGUUUCCUCUGAACGGUUAGAAAUCGUAUCUAGAGUGUAAAGGCAUAAGGAAGCUUGACUGUGAGACCUACAAGUCGAGCAGGGACGAAAGUCGGUCUUAGUGAUCUGACGGUACUGAGUGGAAAGGCCGUCACUCAACGGAUAAAAGUUACUCUAGGAUAACAGGCUGAUCUCCCCCAAGAGUUCACAUCGACGGGGAGGUUUGGCACCUCGAUGUCGGCACAUCGCAUCCUGGGGCGGUAGUACGUCCCAAGGGUUGGGCUGUUCGCCCAUGAAAGCGGUACGCGAGCUGGGUUCAGAACGUCGUGAGACAGUUCGGUCCAUAUCCGGUGUAGGCGCUAGAAUAUUGAGAGGAGCCUUCUUUAGUACGAGAGGACCGAGAAGGACAUACCUCUGGUGUACCAGUUAUCGUGCCAACGGUAAACGCUGGGUAGCUAUGUAUGGAGUGGAUAACCGCUGAAAGCAUCUAAGUGGGAAGCCCACCUCAAGAUAAGUAUUCUCAUCACGUAAGUGAGUAAGGUCACGGUAAGACUAACCGUUUGAUAGGCAUUAAGUGUAAGUACAGUAAUGUAUGUGCUGAGAUGUCCUAAUAGACCGAGGAC
This 1266-nucleotide ribosomal RNA is filed under the name metagenome. RNAcentral describes it as "bacterial LSU rRNA". It matches the Rfam family "Bacterial large subunit ribosomal RNA", at positions 1638 to 2925 of the family's 2925-position model. The record is from RNAcentral.